Molecule: long non-coding RNA, 315 nt
Filed under: Bos taurus (domestic cattle)
Lineage: Eukaryota; Metazoa; Chordata; Mammalia; Artiodactyla; Bovidae
Description: long non-coding RNA NONBTAT024389
Source: RNAcentral
AGCUAAUUCUUACUAUGUUAAAAGCUUCUGUUCUUUUGUCCCCUCCUCAUUACUAAAAAAAAAUGCAUUCAAACAUGCAAAUUAAAAUACCAAAUAUGAUUUCGUUUCUUUAAGCAUUUCUUAAAAAAAAAAAACUUACCCUGAUGUGCUGGUUCCAUGUCCAAACCUAUGAGAAAAGUACUUCCUUACUAGAGUGAUGUUUCUUAAGGUAUUCCUCCCCUAAACAUACUUCAUGUGCUUAGAAGUAUCACACAUGUACUAAAAAUAAUUGGCUUCUAAUGUCUUGUACUAAACAAUGCUGUUGAUGUAAUUCUG